ACUUUCAACCAACGAUCAAGGUAAAAUUUAUUUUUAAAUUCAUGAGUUUUCUUAUGUAACGAACUGUUAUAUCUAUGGUUGGAUAUGGGUAUAUUUUUAAUCAAGUUAUGAUUGAUGAUAUGAAGUCAUGAACACUUAUAUCAAGACAUUUAUGAGAACCUUGUAGAGUAACAUAAUCCAUGUUUGUCCUAGUUAUGGCACGACUGAUAAGAACCCCCACGAGGACAGAAGCUUGUG
This 237-nucleotide long non-coding RNA is filed under the name Olea europaea (common olive). RNAcentral describes it as "long non-coding RNA (OEUR_LNC014515)". Lineage: Eukaryota; Viridiplantae; Streptophyta; Magnoliopsida; Lamiales; Oleaceae. The record is from RNAcentral.